This 74-nucleotide transfer RNA is filed under the name Bradypus variegatus (Brown-throated sloth). Its description in RNAcentral is "tRNA-Asx". It matches the Rfam family "tRNA". From Rfam's summary of the family: Transfer RNA (tRNA) molecules are approximately 80 nucleotides in length. Lineage: Eukaryota; Metazoa; Chordata; Mammalia; Pilosa; Bradypodidae. The record is from RNAcentral.
AAGUAGAUUGAAGCCAGGUAUGAUAGGGCGUUUAGCUGUUAACUAAAGUUUCGUGGGAUCAAGUCCCAUCAGUC